Molecule: ribosomal RNA, 432 nt
Filed under: Heterotermes tenuis
Lineage: Eukaryota; Metazoa; Arthropoda; Insecta; Blattodea; Rhinotermitidae
Description: partial 16S ribosomal RNA
Source: RNAcentral
UUACGCUGUUAUCCCUAAGGUAAUUUAAUCUUAUAAUCAAAAUCAAUGGAUCAAAUAAAUAUAAAUCAAUAUAACCACUAAACCAAGAGGAGUUAAAUUAUAUUCCUCUCAUCACCCCAACAAAACACAAGACCCACUUAUUAAAAAUAAAACAAACUACAAAUAAACAAGCAAAUCAACAUGUCAAACUCUAUAGGGUCUUCUCGUCCCAUAAAAACAUCUAAGAAUUUUAACUCAAAAACCAAAUUCAAUAAAACAUUCAAAUUUAAGACAGCUCGCAUCUCGUCAAGCCAUUCAUUCCAGAUCACAAUUAAAGAACUAAUGAUUAUGCUACCUUUGCACGGUCAAAAUACCGCGGCCCUUCAACAAUAAGUCAGCGGGCAGGCCAUACUUCAAAAACUAACAAGAAAAGAUGUUUUUGAUAAACAGGCG